GUCUACGGCUACACUACCCUGAACACAUCCGAUCUCGUCUGAUCUCGGAAGCUAAGCAAGGUUGGGCCUGGUUAGUAGUUGGAUGGAAUAACAAUGAUAUUAAUAUAAUACUGAGUUUCAGGCA
Fukomys damarensis (Damara mole-rat) is the source of this 124-nucleotide ribosomal RNA. The record is from Ensembl. Lineage: Eukaryota; Metazoa; Chordata; Mammalia; Rodentia; Bathyergidae.